Molecule: ribosomal RNA, 460 nt
Filed under: uncultured bacterium
Lineage: Bacteria
Description: partial 16S ribosomal RNA
Rfam family: Bacterial small subunit ribosomal RNA
Source: RNAcentral
CCUACGGGUGGCAGCAGUGAGGAAUAUUGGUCAAUGGACGAGAGUCUGAACCAGCCAAGUAGCGUGAAGGAUGACUGCCCUAUGGGUUGUAAACUUCUUUUAUAAGGGAAUAAAAUGAUGCACGUGUGCCUUUUUGUAUGUACUUUAUGAAUAAGGAUCGGCUAACUCCGUGCCAGCAGCCGCGGUAAUACGGAGGAUCCGAGCGUUAUCCGGAUUUAUUGGGUUUAAAGGGAGCGUAGAUGGAUUGUUAAGUCAGUUGUGAAAGUUUGCGGCUCAACCGUAAAAUUGCAGUUGAUACUGGCAGUCUUGAGUACAGUAGAGGUAGGCGGAAUUCGUGGUGUAGCGGUGAAAUGCUUAGAUAUCACGAAGAACUCCGAUUGCGAAGGCAGCUUACUAAACUGCGACUGACACUGAGGCUCGAAAGUGUGGGUAUCAAACAGGAUUAGAUACCCUUGUAGUC